This 69-nucleotide transfer RNA is filed under the name Marmota monax (woodchuck). It matches the Rfam family "tRNA". Rfam says of the family: Transfer RNA (tRNA) molecules are approximately 80 nucleotides in length. The record is from Rfam by way of RNAcentral. Lineage: Eukaryota; Metazoa; Chordata; Mammalia; Rodentia; Sciuridae. RNAcentral also lists the same sequence under 1 other name.
GGGGUUGUGGCUCAGUGGUAGAGUGCUCACCUAGCAGGUAUGAGGCCCUGGGUUCGAUCCUCAGCACCA